GUUGGGGACGGCGCCAUCAGUAGGCAGCCGGGUGGGUGGCCCGCUAUGAGCACCAGCGAGCCCUCCGGUGGGAUCCACAAGGAAAGAGCUUGUAGUAAGAGCGGACAGAACAUAGAGAGCCUAUUUCAGCAGCAUGCAACUGGAGUAGGUUCGGCAGCUUAUCCGCAGGGGAGAGACGAGGUGGCCCGCCAGUUACAGCUAAUAGCUAUGGAGCCUCAAGCUGUUCAGAACAGAGAUGACCUGUUCGUUUGGCCCUGGAUGGGUGUUUUGGUCAAUGUGCCUACUGAACGGAAAAAUGGGCGCCAUGUUGGAGAAAGUGGAAACCGGCUGAAGGAGAAGCUCUCGUGCUUUUGCCCACAGAAAGUUAUCCCUUUGUGGAACUAUAGAGGCCACACAGGGAAUGCUAUUGUUGAGUUUGGAAAAGAUUGGACUGCCUUCAAUAAUGCACUUGCCUUCGAAAAUCACUUUGAGUCAGAAGGAUAUGGCAAACUGGACUGGAAGGCGUACAAGCAUCGACGACCGGGGAUGUUUGGAUGGGUUGCAAGGGCUGAUGAUCAGAAAUAUCCAGGGCCGAUCGGAGAUUAUCUGCAUAAAAAUGGUGAUCUGAAAACUAUUGCAGAUGUUGAGAAUGAAGAAGCACGCAAAACAAACAAACUGGUAGCGAAUUUAGCUAGCCAGAUUGAGGUAAAGCGAAGGCAUGUGGAAGAACUUGAAUGUAAGUACAAUGAGACGACCACCUCACUUGACAUGAUAAUGGAGCAAAAGGAUCAGCUGCUCCGGGCAUACAAUGAAGAAAUACAUAAGAUGCAGCAACUUGCUCGUAGGCAUUCACAGAGGAUCAUUGAUGAGAAUCAAAAGCUCCGUUCAGAACUUGAGUCCAAGAUGCAGAACCUUGACUUAAGAUCCAAACAGCUUGAUGAGCUAGUUGCGCGUAGUGAAUCUGACAGAAGGAACCUUGAGCACGAGAAGGAAAAGAACGGUGUUAAAACAAAGCAUCUUAAGAUGGCAACAUUGGUGCAACAGAAGGCUGAUGAAAAUGUGCUCAAGCUUGUGGAAAAACACAAGUUAGAGAAACAAGUCGCUCUAGAUAAGAUUAUCAAGUUGGAGCAUCAACUGGAUGCCAAGCAGAAGCUUGAGUUAGAAAUAAAACAGUUGCAGGGUAAAUUGGAAGUCAUGAAGCAUAUGCCAGGUGAAGAAGACUCUGAAUCGAAGAAAAGAAUAGAUGAACUUAGUGAGGAGUUACAAGACAAAUAUGAUGAAAUGGAUGCAAUGGAGUCACUCUACCAUACUCUGCUUAUCAAGGAACGGAAAAGCAAUGAUGAAUUGCAAGAUGCUCGGAAGAAGCUGAUAGAUGGUUUGCAGACUAUUACAACUGGUCGAGCAAAUAUUGGCAUUAAAAGAAUGGGCGAACUUGAUCUUAAAUCACUUGCAAUUGCUUGCGGACGUAAAUUGUCAAAAGAAGAUGCAGAAGUGACUGCUGCCAUUCUUUGUUCGAAGUGGGAGGCUGAUAUCAAAAAACCAGAAUGGCACCCUUUUAGGGUUGUCAUGGUUAAUGGGAAAAAAAGGGAGCUUAUCUCUGAAGAUGAUGCGAAGCUUCAGACCCUAAGAGAAGAGUAUGGCGAAGAAGUCUAUUCUUUGGUGACAAAGGCGCUGCUUGAAGUUAACGAGUACAACCCCCGUGACCGCUAUCCCGUACCGGAGCUGUGGAACUACAAGGAGGGCCGCAAAGCAACACUGAAAGAGGCCUUGCAGUACGUCCUGAAACAGUGGCGGGCACACAAGAGGAAGCGCUGA
This 1794-nucleotide ribosomal RNA is filed under the name Triticum aestivum (bread wheat). RNAcentral describes it as "partial small subunit ribosomal RNA". Lineage: Eukaryota; Viridiplantae; Streptophyta; Magnoliopsida; Poales; Poaceae. The record is from RNAcentral.